This 305-nucleotide ribosomal RNA is filed under the name Fructilactobacillus sanfranciscensis. RNAcentral describes it as "bacterial SSU rRNA". It matches the Rfam family "Bacterial small subunit ribosomal RNA", at positions 382 to 680 of the family's 1533-position model. Lineage: Bacteria; Bacillati; Bacillota; Bacilli; Lactobacillales; Lactobacillaceae. The record is from RNAcentral.
UCUGAUGGAGCACGCCGCGUGAGUGAAGAAGGGUUUCGGCUCGUAAAACUCUGUUGUUAGAGAAGAACAGCCGUGAGAGCAACUGCUCACGGUAUGACGGUAUCUAACCAGAAAGUCACGGCUAACUACGUGCCAGCAGCCGCGGUAAUACGUAGGUGGCAAACGUUGUCCGGAUUUAUUGGGCGUAAAGGGAGCGCAGGCGGUUUAUUAAGUCUGAUGUGAAAGCCUUCGGCUUAACCGGAGAAGUGCAUCGGAAACUGAUAAACUUGAGUGCAGAAAAGGAUAGUGGAACUUCAUGUGUAGCG